AAACAAGAGCAUCGCUACCGCUGCAAUAUACGUCCACAUUCCUGCUUUGAUUGAUAUGGUACUUUUUAAAACUAGAAAUGGGCGUGGCUCUGCCCCUGGGGGUCGGGCAUGCACCAAAAACAAUAGGGAUCUUCCUUGGGGUAUAAGGAAUAAGUAUACCAAGUUUGAAGAAAAUCCAGUAAGAAUUGCGCCCUGUAGGCGACACAAAGACACACGAAAAGAAAAUGGGAAAUGGGCGUGGCUCUGCCCCUGGGGGUUGGGCAUGUACCCCAAACGAUAGGGAUGUUCCUUAGGGUACAAAGAAUGUGUAUGCAAGAUUAUAAGUUAAGAAAUGUGGCCUGUAGACGACAAACAAACAAAUACUAGAAAUGGGCGUGGCUCUGCCCCUGGGGGUCGGGCAUGCACCAAAAACAAUAGGGAUCUUCCUUGGGGUAUAAGGAAUAAGUAUACCAAGUUUGAAGAAAAUCCAGUAAGAAUUGCGCCCUGUAGGCGACACAAAGACACACGAAAAGAAAAUGGGCGUGGCUCUGCCCCUGGGGGUUGGGCAUGCACCCCAAACGAUAGGGAUGUUCCUUAGGGUACAAAGAAUGUGUAUGCAAAGUUUCAAGAUUAUUAGUUAAGAAAUGUGGCCUGUAGACGACAAACAAACAAAUACUAGAAAUGGGCGUGGCUCUGCCCCGGGGGGUCGGGCAUGCACCAAAAACAAUAGGGAUCUUCCUUGGGGUAUAAGGAAUAAGUAUACCAAGUUUGAAGAAAAUCCAUGAAGAAUUGCGCCCUGUAGGCGAACCACAGACACACACACACACACACACACACACACACACACACACAGACAGGGGCGACGGCAUAAUACGUUCACAUUAUGAAUGUGGACGUAUAAAAAUUAAUGUUGUACGCGGAAGUUGAAUUAACUCAUCUCUGACGGUGAUGAAGGAUGGGUCGGGGAUCUACUUAAGCAUAAUAUACAGUCUUUGAUGUCAUCUAAGGACGAAUUGCCAGCCUUUAUAAAUAUGGCACAGGAGAAAAUCCAAAUGUCGGAAAAGCCAUUGAUCGUAGAGCCCGAUGCUGUUAAGCGCCGAGUGUGGCGUUCCACUGGAAAACCUGUCAGUGACGGAGCAGUAAUUUAUUUAGCGGGAGUUCUGGAAUAUAUCAUGGCAGAAAUUCUAGAUUUGUCCGCCACAAGGGUUCGCUAUGGAAACAAAAUCAGACCCAAGCAUGUGAUCAAGGCAAUCCGACAAGAUCCAGAAUUGGAUGAGUUUUUACUGAAGGGUAACGAUUCCAGCGACGAUGAAUAAAAACUUGAAACUUGAAUGAUGACGAGAUAUUAUCCAAAAAUACACUGUCCAUUGUGAAAAUAUUGUCAGAAUUUUUCUUUACGAAAUAAUAAAGAUCUUUAUUAAUA
This is a long non-coding RNA of Patella vulgata (common limpet), 1402 nucleotides long. RefSeq lists it as uncharacterized. The record is from RefSeq and is a predicted model, not a curated record. Lineage: Eukaryota; Metazoa; Mollusca; Gastropoda; Patellidae. The transcript is spliced from 2 exons.